This 322-nucleotide ribosomal RNA is filed under the name uncultured eukaryote. RNAcentral describes it as "partial 18S ribosomal RNA". It matches the Rfam family "Eukaryotic small subunit ribosomal RNA", at positions 1470 to 1796 of the family's 1831-position model. The record is from RNAcentral.
CCCUUAGAUGUCCUGGGCCGCACGCGCGCUACACUGACAUGUUCAACAAGUUUCUCCUAGUUCGACAGGACUGGGAAAUCUUUGAACGCAUGUCGUGAUAGGGAUAGAUCAUUGCAAUUAUUGAUCUUGAACGAGGAAUUCCUAGUAAACGCGAGUCAUCAGCUCGCAUUGAUUACGUCCCUGCCCUUUGUACACACCGCCCGUCGCACCUACCGAUUGAAUGUUUCGGUGAAGAUUCCGGAUAGGACUGAUUUGAUUUAUUUCAUUUCUGACCUAGAAGCUAUCUAAACCUCAACAUUUAGAGGAAGGUGAAGUCGUAACA